CGCGUAGGCGGGGAGGUAAGUCGGGUGUGAAAUCCCUCGGCCCAACCGAGGAACUGCGCCCGAGACUGCUUCUCUUGAGUCCCGGAGAGGAAGAUGGAAUUCCCGGUGUAGCGGUGAAAUGUGUAGAGAUCGGGAGGAACACCGGUGGCGAAGGCGGUCUUCUGGACGGUGACUGACGCUGAGGCGCGAAAGCGUGGGGAAGCAAACG
This 208-nucleotide ribosomal RNA is filed under the name uncultured bacterium. RNAcentral describes it as "partial 16S ribosomal RNA". It matches the Rfam family "Bacterial small subunit ribosomal RNA", at positions 568 to 774 of the family's 1533-position model. The record is from RNAcentral.